This 376-nucleotide transfer-messenger RNA is filed under the name bacterium. It matches the Rfam family "transfer-messenger RNA". From Rfam's summary of the family: Bacterial tmRNA, also known as 10Sa RNA or SsrA, is named for its dual tRNA and mRNA-like properties. The record is from RNAcentral.
GGGGACGCUGGGCCUCGACGAUCGUUGAAAAAUUGAAAUCGAAUCGCAGUGCGAUGUCUGCGUUAUCACUAUCGCAUCAUUAAAUAAGUGCAAACUCAUUUAACAGACAGCCAGCUUUAGCUUUUGCUUAACUGGCUUGCCCGACAAACUUUUGUUCUAGGGCCAUCAGCGCGUUCAUGUCUAAUAGACGCAUAACUGGUGUUAUACAUUGGGCUUUACCGUAAAGUUUCAGUAUUUACGGCGAAAUUACACUGAAACGGUGUGCGCAUUUUUGCUAGAUUUCUUACGCGUAUACCUUAUCAAAUCUGGCUACAUUCGUAUGUAUUUCAAUUUGGACAUGUUUCGGAUGCGGGUUCAACUCCCGCCGUCUCCACAC